AACGAACGCUGGCGGCAUGCCUAACACAUGCAAGUCGAACGAGACCUUCGGGUCUAGUGGCGCACGGGUGCGUAACGCGUGGGAACCUGCCCUUAGGUUCGGAAUAACUCCCCGAAAGGGGUGCUAAUACCGGAUAAUGUCUUCGAACCAAAGAUUUAUCGCCUUUGGAUGGGCCCGCGUUGGAUUAGCUAGUUGGUAGGGUAAAAGCCUACCAAGGCGACGAUCCAUAGCUGGUCUGAGAGGAUGAUCAGCCACACUGGGACUGAGACACGGCCCAGACUCCUACGGGAGGCAGCAGUGGGGAAUAGUGGACAAUGGGCGAAAGCCUGAUCCAGCAAUGCCGCGUGAGUUAUGAAGGCCUUAGGGUUGUAAAGCUCUUUUACCCGGGAUGAUAAUGACAGUACCGGGAGAAUAAGCUCCGGCUAACUCCGUG
Molecule: ribosomal RNA, 433 nt
Filed under: uncultured bacterium
Lineage: Bacteria
Description: partial 16S ribosomal RNA
Rfam family: Bacterial small subunit ribosomal RNA
Source: RNAcentral